RNAcentral lists this ribosomal RNA (484 nucleotides) under uncultured bacterium. Its description in RNAcentral is "partial 16S ribosomal RNA". It matches the Rfam family "Bacterial small subunit ribosomal RNA", at positions 28 to 523 of the family's 1533-position model. The record is from RNAcentral.
GACGAACGCUGGCGGCGUACUUAACACAUGCAAGUCGAACGAUGAAGCCGGAGCUUGCUCUGGUGAAUUAGUGGCGAACGGGUGAGUAACACGUGAGUAACCUGCCCUUGACUCUGGGAUAACUGCGGGAAACUGUAGCUAAUACCGGAUACGACCCUCGGAGGCAUCUCCUGGGGGUGGAAAGAAUUUCGGUCAAGGAUGGACUCGCGGCCUAUCAGCUAGUUUGUGAGGUAAAGGCUGACCAAGGCGACGACGGGUAGCCGGCCUGAGAGGGUGACCGGCCACACUGGGACUGAGACACGGCCCAGAAUCCUACGGGAGGCAGCAGUGGGGAAUAUUGCACAAUGGGCGCAAGCCUGAUGCAGCAACGCCGCGUGAGGGAUGACGGCCUUCGGGUUGUAAACCUCUUUUAGCAGGGAAGAAGCGAAAGUGACGGUACCUGCAGAAAAAGCACCGGCUAACUACGUGCCAGCCGCCGCGGUAA